GAUCAUUAUCAUAUCUAGAUAGAGGGAGAGGAGUGUCCUUGACCAGCUCAAAAAAAAAAAAAAACUCUUGCCUGACUUCUAAGAUCCAUCCCCCUCCCUGUCCUGUAUACUCCCUAUAUAAACCCCUGGCUCGACCCCUGAUGGGUGCUGCUUGAUUUGGAUGUGAAUAUCCCUGGCAGCCGCACGCUAAUAAAGUCCACAAUUUAAAAUUAGCCUGGGUGGUCAACUCGCUAAUUUCUCGGUAUAACAUUUUGGAGGCCCCAGCGAGAUAGCAGCGUACCGUGUGGCUGCAGAGACCCACCUAGAGAGGACAUCGGCCUCGGAGGGGGGAAUUGUUCUGUUCUGACUUCUAGGGGAGCCAGCCCCUGAUGAUGUUCCAGGGCCCCAGGACUCAGGACUAGGAGAAGCCUCCCUCCCCGACUCCGACUGUACCUCAUUUCGGCCCUCGUGGACCUGGUAACCCUCUGGAGGUAAAUGUUUGCAAACCUGUUUUCUGGUGGGGAACGAGUGCCAGACGUGGCAGAGCACCUAAUUAGUGCCUCAAUCCCCCAGGCACCCCGAGACGUCGGGACUAUGCCUGUAUCUGGUUCCUGGUACCCGGUUUCUGGUUCCUGGUUUCUGUCUUAGUUCUGUUGGGCCGUGUCUCGUUCCUGGUUUCUGUCUCAGUGUUGGUCUAUUAGUUUAUAUGUGUAGAGAUUGUGUUUUUAAGAGAUUCUGUUUUGCAAUCAUCUGCCUGAAGCCACCUCUGUUUCAUACUGAAAGACAGGUGUCAGACUGGAUUGCAGACAGUUUUCUCCAGACUUCCAUUGGGAGGAUGUGUUUGUGUUCAGGCUUUUAUUGUUUGUCUGUGUCUGUGUUCUGCAAUAAUGGGGGGAUACGGCCAGUACAUCAUUUCCCUCCCUUUUGGGUUGUUUGCAGCCAGACAGCCAAAGGCUGCAGCAGGACUCUGAAAAGUUGCCUUCAUUCUCCCCCUCUUCCUCCCCAGGUACAUUGAAGGAAACUCAGACGAGUGGAUUGUUUUGAGUGCACAGUGAGGGCAGUUUGAGGAGAGAUGGAGGGAAUUAUGUCCACCCACCUUUCAGUCUAGAUCCCCGGGUGGGUUCUUUUAAAGACUGGUCAUUAUGGGAAAGAAAAAGCAAUCAGAAUACUGGUCCAGUACAUUUCUAAGCUUAACAAGGGUAUUGCAUUUGGGAAUAUAUUUUUGUCUACCCCUCCAAAAACUAAAUAAAUAAAUAGGGGAGAAUGAAUGGGUUAGAAUA
Molecule: long non-coding RNA, 1259 nt
Filed under: Phascolarctos cinereus (koala)
Lineage: Eukaryota; Metazoa; Chordata; Mammalia; Diprotodontia; Phascolarctidae
Description: lncRNA (ENSPCIG00000036186.1)
Source: RNAcentral